CCAAAUCAAUGAUCCAAAAGAUGAACUAAACAAUUUCGACUUGGAACAAAAAUGGAAAUGGAAAUGGAAAUGCAAAUGCAGUAAUUUUCUUUUGGUAUGAUCAAAUACAUGAUUACGGAUUGCACAGAUUGUGAGAAGAAGCAAAUGCAAAACCAAUCCACGAAGAAGAAGAUUCAACAAUUUCCGAAGAUAAAUCACGAUAUGCGAAAGAAAAAAUCAAAUCUCCCAAACAAAAAAUCGUAAUUAGCAGGCUUGGUUCUACUAGAAUAAUCGUUUAUAGAUUUUAAUUU
Long non-coding RNA from Cucurbita maxima (winter squash), 290 nucleotides. RefSeq lists it as uncharacterized. The transcript has 3 exons. NCBI's taxonomy places the organism in Eukaryota, Viridiplantae, Streptophyta, Magnoliopsida, Cucurbitales, Cucurbitaceae. The record is from RefSeq and is a predicted model, not a curated record.